Molecule: long non-coding RNA, 495 nt
Filed under: Androctonus crassicauda
Lineage: Eukaryota; Metazoa; Arthropoda; Arachnida; Scorpiones; Buthidae
Source: RNAcentral
GAUCCAAUGAGAGCACUGGAAGCUAAGUGUAAGAAACUGUUAAAAAACAAGGACCUACUAGAUUUUUUGAGAGUGCCAAGAAUUAGUAACCCAGCAUGCCCAAAAUUAUUCAGCUAUGCGAAGACGCACAAAAAUCCACUGAAGUUCCACCCGAUAGUGGAAAAAGUGCAGGUCACCCACCUAUAACCUUGAAAGAGCGAUGGCUAUGUGGAGCAAUUCCAGUAUAGCAGGUUAUCAACACGUUGUAAACUCCCCAGCGGAAUUUAUUAAAAGAUUGCAUGAAACCAGUCUGCCUGAAGAACCAACAUUUAACACCAUGGAUUUUGAGAAACUGUACCUGUCACUCAAUAUAGCCCCAACGUGUUUAAGCCUCUAUAGGUUCCUGUUGCAAAAUCUGCCAACAACAACGCAGAACCCCAAACUAUGCAGGGAAUUAGCAGACUUUUUCUGCCAUUUUUCUUAUUUCAGAUAUAGGGGCAAGUUUUACAAGCAGAA